ACGGGAGGCUGCAUUACGGCCUCUUCCGCAAUGGGCGAAAGCCUGACGGAGCAACGCCGCGUGAGUGAUGAAGGUCUUCGGAUCGUAAAACUCUGUUAUUAGGGAAGAACAUAUGUGUAAGUAACUGUGCACAUCUUGACGGUACCUAAUCAGAAAGCCACGGCUAACUACGUGCCAGCAGCCGCGGUAAUACGUAGGUGGCAAGCGUUAUCCGGAAUUAUUGGGCGUAAAGCGCGCGUAGGCGGUUUUUUAAGUCUGAUGUGAAAGCCCACGGCUCAACCGUGGAGGGUCAUUGGAAACUGGAAAACUUGAGUGCAGAAGAGGAAAGUGGAAUUCCAUGUGUAGCGGUGAAAUGCGCAGAGAUAUGGAGGAACACCAGUGGCGAAGGCGACUUUCUGGUCUGUAACUGACGCUGAUGUGCGAAAGCGUGGGGAUCAAACAGGAUUAGAUACCCUGGUAGUCCACGCCGUAAACGAUGAGUGCUAAGUGUUAGGGGGUUUCCGCCCCUUAGUGCUGCAGCUAACGCAUUAAGCACUCCGCCUAGGAGUACGACC
RNAcentral lists this ribosomal RNA (554 nucleotides) under uncultured Staphylococcus sp. RNAcentral describes it as "SSU rRNA". It matches the Rfam family "Bacterial small subunit ribosomal RNA", at positions 341 to 887 of the family's 1533-position model. Lineage: Bacteria; Bacillati; Bacillota; Bacilli; Caryophanales; Staphylococcaceae. The record is from RNAcentral.